ACUCCUACGGGAGGCAGCAGUGGGGAAUAUUGCACAAUGGGCGCAAGCCUGAUGCAGCCAUGCCGCGUGUAUGAAGAAGGCCUCGGUUGUAAGUACUUUCUAGCAGUGAGGAAGGUGGGUAGUGUUAAUAGCAUAUUCAUUUUGUACGUUUAGCUGCAGAAGAAGACACCGGCGUAACUCCGUGCCAGCAGCCGCGGUAAUACGGAGGUGCGAGCGUUAAUCGGAUUACUGGCGUAAAGCGCAUGCAGGUGGUUUGUUAAGUUCAGAUGUGAAAGCCGGGGCGUCAACCUCGGAAUUGCAUUUGAAACUGGCAAACUAGAGUACUGUAGAGGGGGUAGAAUUUCAGGUGUAGCGGUGAAAUGCGUAGAGAUCUGAAGGAA
Molecule: ribosomal RNA, 380 nt
Filed under: uncultured bacterium
Lineage: Bacteria
Description: bacterial SSU rRNA
Rfam family: Bacterial small subunit ribosomal RNA
Source: RNAcentral